UGUUUAAGGAUGGUUCUAGUUACCUAACUCCCAAGAAUACCUACACAAGUGAACAAUAGCCAAUGUUUACGAAAAGCCCAGUUAGUACCAAAUGCUGUUGGGUCCAUACACUCAUUAUCUCAUCUUUUCAGACAAGGAAACUGAGGCUUGGAGAUGUUAGGGAACUUGCCCAAAGUCCUAAAGCUGGUAAGCGGGAGAGACAGAAGCAGAAACAGAGCUAGCUCUUUUCCCCACUACACUCAUAGCCAUGAUGUCAAUAUUAUCACUGUAAUGGGCAUCCUCUUAUUGCAAUGGCUCUUUUUAUAGGCGUAUGGUUUCAAAGAUAAAUUUAAGCUAACAUUAUAAACUUUGUCACAUUCUCUCCCAGAAGUACUUAACUUCUUUAAUGACUGCAUAACUUUUAUUCCCAUAAUAGUCCUAGUUUUACUUCUGAAAAAAGGAAGCAAUUCCUGUCUCACAAUUCUAUAGUAACGAUGCAUCUAAAUUCACGUUUCCGUAGUAUGAAAUUUUAGGAAAGCUCUUUCUGGUUAUUAACUGGCCUUCAGCGGAGCUAGUUUGCCUAUUUAAGUGAGCAGUAUGUGGAAUUUCUUCCAGAUCACUCGCACGCCACUAGCUAGAGCCGGCAAAAACACUGAUCUCACGGCCGCCCACUCAGCUAGAUCUCUUUCUGCAGGCACUGACUCCGUUUCCAAACCCAACACGCCGACAGUGGCUUUUUGCUCGUCUGUACGCGUCAGUUGCUCCAAGCGGUUAUCCCUACAGCUGAUCUGGGUUGCUUUCAACAUAUCAACUACGGAGCUAUGAAGACAACCCUGGGUUUGGCUUUUCUAAGGAAUUUCAAGCUCCUAACUAUGCCUUGGUGGAGGGAAGGCCACGCACCCUGAGGGGGCACAAGUUUUCCUCUUUUUCAAAAGUUUCUAUCUUUUGCCCAGACACAGGAGUAAGAGCACACACGACUACCCUCGGCGAGCCCGGCGUGGCAUCCCUCGGAGCGCGGGGUACAAUGGGAAAUAGGCCUCAGGCCCCGCCCACCUAAUACUACUCGCCCUCAUCAGACGCCGGGCCCUCUCGGACUCCAGCAGCCUCGGCCUCGCCCACCUCGACCCCCACCCCCGCCUCUGGCUCCGCCCACUCAAGUCCAGCCAGCCUCAGGCUCCUUGGUCGCCUCAGGCUCCGCCCGCCUGAGGCCCCAACCCCGGGUCCCCAGGCCUCCUGAAGCUCCGCCCCCGAGGCUCCGCCUCCCUCGGGCCGGUUUGCCACAGGCCCAGCGGUCAUGGUGGCGUCGCUGGGCUGAAGGAAGUCGUCGCCGCUCCGGCCGCCUGGCCCUCUCACCUCGGGUUGUGGUUCAGGUUCAGCGCGAUCCAAGGGUUGAAUCAUCUACCUUCUGAUUAAGUUUGAUCAUGUGAGAAAUGACCACUGAGCAGAAUAUGAAGGAUGAAAGUGGAAAAUAGCAACACACAGCCACAAGUUUCAGGAGGUAACAACAUUGACUAGAGACAUCUGGAAUGUGAAGACUGCUGUGCGAGGCUACCAUGUGGUGGGGCGCCAGGAGGGAGGGAGGAGGACAAAGGAAGCUCCGACUGUUUUUUAAAUAUUCAUUUCUUUGCACCCACCUGCAGCAAAUAUGAUAAAACGUUAACAUUUAUUAAAUACCGGCGAAGGGUUCAUGGCUGUUCGUUAUACUAUCCUCUAAUAUUUUCCCUCUGUAUUUUUCUGUAUGGCUGAAAGAGUUCCUUAAAAAUAAACAUGUGCUACUGUGUGUACUACUACUCUUUACACUGUGGAAAGCUUCAUGGAACCAGAGAAAAAUAACAGAAUUGGGGAGUCUGGAGAAUCAGAUUCAAGUCCUAACUAUGCCAUUAAUCAGCUACAGGAUUUUAAGUAACUCACAACCUUUCUAGAAUUCAAGAACUUAUCAAAUCAAGAACUUUACCAAAUAAAAUACGAAAUGAUAUCUUA
Molecule: non-coding RNA, 1959 nt
Organism: Equus caballus (horse)
Lineage: Eukaryota; Metazoa; Chordata; Mammalia; Perissodactyla; Equidae
Source: RefSeq, a predicted model, not a curated record